GCACUUACCUGGCAUGAUCAAAAAAGUUUUCUCAGGGAUUGGUUUAUCCACUAUAUUCCAUAUAUGCUGACAGGUGUGAUUUCCCCCAACAUAGGAAAUUUGGCUGCAUAAGUUGUGGUAGUGAGGGCCUGCAUCCAAUCUACCACCUAA
This 150-nucleotide small nuclear RNA is filed under the name Erinaceus europaeus (western European hedgehog). RNAcentral's name for it is "U1 spliceosomal RNA (ENSEEUG00000023699.1)". The record is from RNAcentral. Lineage: Eukaryota; Metazoa; Chordata; Mammalia; Eulipotyphla; Erinaceidae.